RNAcentral lists this ribosomal RNA (24 nucleotides) under Psammosilene tunicoides. RNAcentral's name for it is "partial 28S ribosomal RNA". Lineage: Eukaryota; Viridiplantae; Streptophyta; Magnoliopsida; Caryophyllales; Caryophyllaceae. The record is from RNAcentral.
CCCAGGUCAGGCGGGAUNCCCGCU